ACGCCGCGUGAGUGAUGAAGGCUUUCGGGUCGUAAAACUCUGUUGUUAGGGAAGAACAAGUACGAGAGUAACUGCUCGUACCUUGACGGUACCUAACCAGAAAGCCACGGCUAACUACGUGCCAGCAGCCGCGGUAAUACGUAGGUGGCAAGCGUUAUCCGGAAUUAUUGGGCGUAAAGCGCGCGCAGGCGGUUUCUUAAGUCUGAUGUGAAAGCCCACGGCUCAACCGUGGAGGGUCAUUGGAAACUGGGGAACUUGAGUGCAGAAGAGAAAAGCGGAAUUCCACGUGUAGCGGUGAAAUGCGUAGAGAUGUGGAGGAACACCAGUGGCGAAGGCGGCUUUUUGGUCUGUAACUGACGCUGAGGCGCGAAAGCGUGGGGAGCAAACAGGAUUAGAUACCCUGGUAGUCCACGCCGUAAACGAUGAGUGCUAAGUGUUAGAGGGUUUCCGCCCUUUAGUGCUGCACUAAACGCAUUAAGCACUC
RNAcentral lists this ribosomal RNA (484 nucleotides) under Priestia aryabhattai. RNAcentral describes it as "bacterial SSU rRNA". It matches the Rfam family "Bacterial small subunit ribosomal RNA", at positions 394 to 869 of the family's 1533-position model. The record is from RNAcentral. Lineage: Bacteria; Bacillati; Bacillota; Bacilli; Caryophanales; Bacillaceae.